UACGAAGGGUGCUAGCGUUGUUCGGAAUUACUGGGCGUAAAGCGCGCGUAGGCGGCUAUUCAAGUCAGAGGUGAAAUCCCUGGGCUCAACCCAGGAACUGCCUUUGAAACUGUAUAGCUUGAGUGUUGGAGGGGAUAGCGGAAUUGCUAAUGUAGAGGUGAAAUUCGUAGAUAUUAGCAGGAACACCGGUGGCGAAGGCGGCUAUCUGGACAACAACUGACGCUGAGGCGCGAAAGUGUGGGGAUCAAACAGG
Molecule: ribosomal RNA, 253 nt
Filed under: uncultured bacterium
Lineage: Bacteria
Description: partial 16S ribosomal RNA
Rfam family: Bacterial small subunit ribosomal RNA
Source: RNAcentral